AGCUCCAAUAGCGUAUACUAAAGUUGUUGCAGUUAAGAAGCUCGUAGUUGAAUUUCUGGAUCCGAAUUAUGGUCAGUCAUUAAGUUGAUUUGUACCUUUUGUUUGGGUCCAUCCUCGGAGAAAACAUAUCUGUCAUUAAGUUGAUGGAUAUGGGAUCUUCGUCAUUUACUGUGAGCAAAAUAGAGUGUUCAAAGCAGGCUUAUGCCGUUGAAUACAUUAGCAUGGAAUAAUAAGAUAAGACCUUGGUCUAUUUUGUUGGUUUGACUCCAAGGUAAUGAUUAAUAGGGAUAGUUGGGGGUAUUCGUAUUCAAUUGUCAGAGGUGAAAUUCUUGGAUUUAUGGAAGACGAACUACUGCGAAAGCAUUUACCAAGGAUGUUUUCAUUAAUCAAGAACGAAAGU
RNAcentral lists this ribosomal RNA (400 nucleotides) under phytoplankton environmental sample. RNAcentral describes it as "partial small subunit ribosomal RNA". It matches the Rfam family "Eukaryotic small subunit ribosomal RNA", at positions 587 to 990 of the family's 1831-position model. The record is from RNAcentral.